GAUGAACGCUGACCGAAUGCUUAACACAUGCAAGUCUUUGGCGAAGCUGUGCUUGCUCCGCCUAGCCAAGGCGGACGGGUGGGUAACGCGUAAGGAACUUGCCCUGCAGUCAGGGAUAACAGACGGAAACGACUGAUAAGACCUGGUAAAGUCAGGCGGACUCAUGUCCAGCCUGAUGAAAAGAGGUGCUGCAGGUGAGCCGUGCGUUCUAUUAGCUUGUUGGUGGGUUAACGGCCCACCAAGGCGAUGAUAGGUAGCCGGCCUGAGAGGGUGGACGGCCACAAGGGGACUGAGAGACGGCCCUGACUACUACGGGAGGCAGCAGUGGGGAAUAUUGGACAAUGGGGGCAACCCUGAUCAAGCUAUUCUGUGUGCACGAUGAAGGUUUUCGGAUUGUAAAGUGCUUGCAGGGGGGAAGAAAAAAAUGACGGUACCUGCAGAAGAAGCGACGGCUAAAUACGUG
RNAcentral lists this ribosomal RNA (463 nucleotides) under uncultured bacterium. RNAcentral describes it as "partial 16S ribosomal RNA". It matches the Rfam family "Bacterial small subunit ribosomal RNA", at positions 28 to 507 of the family's 1533-position model. The record is from RNAcentral.